This 332-nucleotide ribosomal RNA is filed under the name uncultured Bacillota bacterium. RNAcentral describes it as "bacterial SSU rRNA". It matches the Rfam family "Bacterial small subunit ribosomal RNA", at positions 29 to 350 of the family's 1533-position model. The record is from RNAcentral. Lineage: Bacteria; Bacillati; Bacillota.
AGUGAACGCUGGCGGCGUGCCUAAUACAUGCAAGUCGAGCGAAUGAAUGGGAGCUUGCUCCCUGACAUUAGCGGCGGACGGGUGAGUAACACGUGGGCAACCUGCCCUGCAGAUGGGGAUAACUCCGGGAAACCGGGGCUAAUACCGAAUAAUCAGUUCCUCCGCAUGGAGGAAUUCUGAAAGACGGCUUCGGCUGUCACUGCAGGAUGGGCCCGCGGCGCAUUAGCUAGUUGGUGGGGUAACGGCCUACCAAGGCGACGAUGCGUAGCCGACCUGAGAGGGUGAUCGGCCACACUGGGACUGAGACACGGCCCAGACUCCUACGGGUGGCU